AUUCAUGUUCUUAACUCUUUACACGUUCUUUAUGUCCCACUUUACUUUAGAUUUAGUCAUUGUCAUCAUUCUUUACAUCACUUUGAUCUGUCACCUCACACUAACUCUAGCGUCACUUUACUUUACAUUACCGAAUACCACUCAAUCUGUGUCAUGGUGUCACUCUGUUCUUUUGCCUCACUUAGGUACUCACAUUUUCUCUCAUGCAUACAUAUAGGGUUUUUUUUUUUUUUAACAUUCAUAAAGUUCUCAACCAUCACAUUUAGCAAGUUGUACUCACAAUCCUGCAACAUCACAUUUUUAUCAUUACUUUACCCUAAAAUACAUGCAUCAAUAUAUUUAUAU
This 345-nucleotide long non-coding RNA is filed under the name Ananas comosus (pineapple). RNAcentral's name for it is "long non-coding RNA (ACOM_LNC013667)". Lineage: Eukaryota; Viridiplantae; Streptophyta; Magnoliopsida; Poales; Bromeliaceae. The record is from RNAcentral.